GCUGGCGGCGUGCUUAACACAUGCAAGUCGAACGAGAAAGGGUUCUUCGGAACCUGAGUAGAGUGGCGCACGGGUGAGUAACACGUGGACAAUCUACCCCCGAGUCCCGGGAUAACAUUUCGAAAGGGAUGCUAAUACCGGAUAAUAUCUGUUUACCUUGGUUUUGCAGAUCAAAGGUGGCCUAUCCUUGGAAGCCAUUGUUUGGGGAUGAGUCCGCGUACCAUUAGCUUGUUGGUGGGGUAACGGCCUACCAAGGCGAUGAUGGUUAGCUGGUCUGAGAGGAUGAUCAGCCACACUGGAACUGACACACGGUCCAGACUCCUACGGGAGGCAGCAGUGGGGAAUUUUUGCGCAAUGGGCGAAAGCCUGACGCAGCAACGCCGCGUGAGUGAUGAAGGUCUUCGGAUCGUAAAGCUCUGUCGGCGGGAACGAUGGCAUCACUGGUUAAUACCCAGUGGCGUUGACGGUACCCGCAAAGGAAGCACCGGCUAACUCUGUG
RNAcentral lists this ribosomal RNA (499 nucleotides) under uncultured bacterium. RNAcentral's name for it is "bacterial SSU rRNA". It matches the Rfam family "Bacterial small subunit ribosomal RNA", at positions 35 to 507 of the family's 1533-position model. The record is from RNAcentral.